This 400-nucleotide ribosomal RNA is filed under the name uncultured bacterium. Its description in RNAcentral is "bacterial SSU rRNA". It matches the Rfam family "Bacterial small subunit ribosomal RNA", at positions 355 to 771 of the family's 1533-position model. The record is from RNAcentral.
UGGGGAAUAUUGCACAAUGGGGGGAACCCUGAUGCAGCGACGCCGCGUGGGUGAAGAAGUAUUUCGGUAUGUAAAGCCCUAUCAGCAGGGAAGAAAAAUGACGGUACCUGACUAAGAAGCACCGGCUAAAUACGUGCCAGCAGCCGCGGUAAUACGUAUGGUGCAAGCGUUAUCCGGAUUUACUGGGUGUAAAGGGAGCGCAGGCGGCACGCUAAGCCUGAUGUGAAAACCCGCGGCUCAACCGCGGGAGUGCAUUGGGAACUGGCGGGCUGGAGUACCGGAGGGGCAGGCGGAAUUCCUAGUGUAGCGGUGAAAUGCGUAGAUAUUAGGAGGAACACCAGUGGCGAAGGCGGCCUGCUGGACGGAGACUGACGCUGAGGCUCGAAAGCGUGGGGAGCAA